CGGACGGGUGAGUAACACGUGGGUAACCUGCCUGUAAGAUUGGGAUAACUCCGGGAAACCGGAGCUAAUACCGGAUAACAUGUUGAACCGCAUGGUUCAACAUUGAAAGAUGGCUUUUGCUAUCACUUACNGAUGGACCCGCGGCGCAUUAGCUAGUUGGUGAGGUAACGGCUCACCAAGGCGACGAUGCGUAGCCNACCUGAGAGGGUGAUCGGCCACACUGGGACUGANACACGGCCCAAACUCCUACNGGAGGCAGCAGUAGGGAAUCUUCCGCAAUGGACGAAAGUCUGACGGAGCAACGCCGCGUGAACGAUGAANGCCUUCGGGUCGUAAAGUUCUGUUGUUAGGGAAGAACAAGUACCAGAGUAACUGCUGGUACCUUGACGGUACCUAACCCGAAAGCCNCGGCUAAAUACGUGCCAGCGGCCGCGGUAUACCUAAGUGGCAAGCGUUUGUCCGGAAUUA
Molecule: ribosomal RNA, 468 nt
Filed under: Bacillus sp. HPB-4
Lineage: Bacteria; Bacillati; Bacillota; Bacilli; Caryophanales; Bacillaceae
Description: bacterial SSU rRNA
Rfam family: Bacterial small subunit ribosomal RNA
Source: RNAcentral